UUUCCCUCAUUCGUCCGAUCAAUAUCACCACCGCAAGCGCCACCGUUCGUCCAAAAAAACCUCACCUCCGUUCGCCCGAUCAAAUCUCACCACCAACCCAACCCCAAUGUCCAAAAUCUCAUGGCGAACCACAAUCAGAUCACCACAGAAUGAACCACUGUUCAUCCUCGUCAUCUUACAAAGCCAAUUAAUCAUCUAAGUAAUACAAGCACCACUACAAGCCUAUUACUGACAUUGUCGUCGUCUGCUCGUGCUCCCCCAUCAUGUCUUCUUGUGCUCCCCGAUUGUUUUCAACUCAGGCCGUCAUCCUCUAUUCACUGCUGUGAAGCAGCUCAAAUAAAAGCUCCAACCCACCAUCAAGAACCGUUUGAUUAAUAUAUUUUUAGUUUUUUGGGGUUCGAGCCCCACGGUGGGC
This 415-nucleotide long non-coding RNA is filed under the name Brassica napus (rape). RNAcentral describes it as "long non-coding RNA (BNAP_LNC001168)". The record is from RNAcentral. Lineage: Eukaryota; Viridiplantae; Streptophyta; Magnoliopsida; Brassicales; Brassicaceae.